Molecule: ribosomal RNA, 318 nt
Filed under: uncultured Pseudomonas sp.
Lineage: Bacteria; Pseudomonadati; Pseudomonadota; Gammaproteobacteria; Pseudomonadales; Pseudomonadaceae
Description: bacterial SSU rRNA
Rfam family: Bacterial small subunit ribosomal RNA
Source: RNAcentral
UCGUGAGAUGUUCGGGUUAAGUCCCGUAACGAGCGCAACCCUUGUCCGUUAGUUACCAGCACGUUAUGGUGGGCACUCUAAGGAGACUGCCGGUGACAAACCGGAGGAAGGUGGGAUGACGUCAAGUCAUCAUGGCCUUACGGCCUGGGCUACACACGUGCUACAAUGGUCGGUACAAAGGGUUGCCAAGCCGCGAGGUGGAGCUAAUCCCAUAAAACCGAUCGUAGUCCGGAUCGCAGUCUGCAACUCGACUGCGUGAAGUCGGAAUCGCUAGUAAUCGUGAAUCAGAAUGUCACGGUGAAUACGUUCCCGGGCCUU